This 465-nucleotide ribosomal RNA is filed under the name Vreelandella stevensii. RNAcentral describes it as "partial 16S ribosomal RNA". It matches the Rfam family "Bacterial small subunit ribosomal RNA", at positions 338 to 795 of the family's 1533-position model. Lineage: Bacteria; Pseudomonadati; Pseudomonadota; Gammaproteobacteria; Oceanospirillales; Halomonadaceae. The record is from RNAcentral.
CCUACGGGGGGCUGCAGUGGGGAAUAUUGGACAAUGGGGGGAACCCUGAUCCAGCCAUGCCGCGUGUGUGAAGAAGGCCCUCGGGUUGUAAAGCACUUUCAGUGAGGAAGAAAGCCUGGUGGUUAAUACCCAUCAGGAAAGACAUCACUCACAGAAGAAGCACCGGCUAACUCCGUGCCAGCAGCCGCGGUAAUACGGAGGGUGCGAGCGUUAAUCGGAAUUACUGGGCGUAAAGCGCGCGUAGGUGGCUUGAUAAGCCGGUUGUGAAAGCCCCGGGCUCAACCUGGGAACGGCAUCCGGAACUGUCAAGCUAGAGUGCAGGAGAGGAAGGUAGAAUUCCCGGUGUAGCGGUGAAAUGCGUAGAGAUCGGGAGGAAUACCAGUGGCGAAGGCGGCCUUCUGGACUGACACUGACACUGAGGUGCGAAAGCGUGGGUAGCAAACAGGAUUAGAUACCCCUGUAGUC